RNAcentral lists this long non-coding RNA (224 nucleotides) under Phoenix dactylifera (date palm). RNAcentral describes it as "long non-coding RNA (PDAC_LNC019093)". The record is from RNAcentral. Lineage: Eukaryota; Viridiplantae; Streptophyta; Magnoliopsida; Arecales; Arecaceae.
AAAAUUGAAUUUUUCAGAUAUGUACUUAAUGAAGAAAAAUUGAUGACUACUAAAAGACUAAAUCAAGAAAAGAGGAAAUAGAUCUUGAUAAAGAUUCUUGCAUGAUUAGAAGUAAAGAUCAUCAUUAUCAUGUGCUUGCUUCAUGAGCUUUAUAUUCUGUCAAAUGAAUGUGUAGAAUUCACUCCUAUGUGGUUACUUCAUUAAAAAUGAGACCUAUGAAAAAU